GUGGGGAAUAUUGGACAAUGGGCGAAAGCCUGAUCCAGCCAUGCCGCGUGUGUGAAGAAGGUCUUCGGAUUGUAAAGCACUUUAAGUUGGGAGGAAGGGCAGUAAGUUAAUACCUUGCUGUUUUGACGUUACCGACAUAAUAAGCACCGGCUAACUUCGUGCCAGCAGCCGCGGUAAUACGAAGGGUGCAAGCGUUACUCGGAAUUACUUGGCGUAAAGCGCGCGUAGGUGGUUUUGUAAGUUGGAGGUGAAAUCCCCGGGCUCAACCUGGGAACUGCCUCCAAAACUGCAUGACUAGAGUACGGUAGAGGGUAGUGGAAUUUCCUGUGUAGCGGUGAAAUGCGUAGAUAUAGGAAGGAACACCAGUGGCGAAGGCGACUACCUGGACUGAUACUGACACUGUGGUGCGAAAGCGUGGGGAGCAAACAGGAUUAGAAACCCUAGUAGUCC
RNAcentral lists this ribosomal RNA (450 nucleotides) under uncultured bacterium. Its description in RNAcentral is "partial 16S ribosomal RNA". It matches the Rfam family "Bacterial small subunit ribosomal RNA", at positions 354 to 796 of the family's 1533-position model. The record is from RNAcentral.